GCCGGAAUAGCUCAGUCGGUAGAGCAGCGCAUUCGUAACGCGAAGGUCGUAGGUUCGAUUCCUAUUUCCGGCACCA
This 76-nucleotide transfer RNA is filed under the name Halothiobacillus neapolitanus c2. Its description in RNAcentral is "tRNA-Thr (CGT) (tRNA-Thr-CGT-1-1)". It matches the Rfam family "tRNA". From Rfam's summary of the family: Transfer RNA (tRNA) molecules are approximately 80 nucleotides in length. Their secondary structure includes four short double-helical elements and three loops (D, anti-codon, and T loops). RNAcentral also lists the same sequence under 3 other names. Lineage: Bacteria; Pseudomonadati; Pseudomonadota; Gammaproteobacteria; Chromatiales; Halothiobacillaceae. The record is from RNAcentral.